UUGGUUAAGCUAAUAAGAGCACACGGAGGAUGCCUAGGCGCCAGGAGCCGACGAAGGACGUGGCGAACAACGAAACUGCCUCGGGGAGCUGUAAGCAAGCUUUGAUCCGGGGGUGUCCGAAUGGGGAAACCCAGCUGUGGUAAUUCGCAGUUACUCAUUUCUGAAUACAUAGGAAAUGUAGAGGCAGACCAGGGGAACUGAAACAUCUAAGUACCCUGAGGAAGAGAAAACAAUAGUGAUUCCGUCAGUAGCGGCGAGCGAACGCGGAACAGCCUAAACCAAGGGGCUUGCCCCUUGGGGUUGUGGGACGUCUCACAUGGAGUUACAAAGGAAUAUGGUAGGCGAAGAGGUCUGGAAAGGCCCGCGAUAGAGGUAAAAGCCCUGUAGCCUAAACUGUGUUCUCUCCGAGACGGAUCCCGAGUAGUGCGGGGCACGUGAAACCCCGUAUGAAUCCAGCAGGACCAUCUGCUAAGGCUAAAUACUACCUGGCGACCGAUAGUGAAACAGUACCGUGAGGGAAAGGUGAAAAGCACCCCGGAAGGGGAGUGAAAUAGAACCUGAAACCGUGUGCUUACAAAAAGUCAGAGCCCUAUUACUGGGUGAUGGCGUGCCUUUUGUAGAAUGAACCGGCGAGUUACGUUUAACAUGCAAGGUUAAGUCGAGAAGACGGAGCCGCAGCGAAAGCGAGUCUGAAUAGGGCGAAUGAGUAUGUGGACGUAGACCCGAAACCGUGUGAUCUACCCCUGUCCAGGGUGAAGGUGCGGUAACACGCACUGGAGGCCCGAACCCACGCAUGUUGAAAAAUGCGGGGAUGAGGUGGGGGUAGCGGAGAAAUUCCAAUCGAACUCGGAGAUAGCUGGUUCUCCCCGAAAUAGCUUUAGGGCUAGCCUCGGUGAAUGGAGUGGUGGAGGUAGAGCACUGAUUGGGUGCGGGGCCCGCAAGGGUUACCAAGCUCAGUCAAACUCCGAAUGCCAUUAACUUCUUGCCGGGAGUCAGACAGUGAGUGCUAAGAUCCAUUGUCAAAAGGGAAACAGCCCAGACCAUCAGCUAAGGUCCCCAAGUGUGUGUUAAGUGGGAAAGGAUGUGGAGUUGCACAGACAACCAGGAUGUUGGCUUAGAAGCAGCCACCAUUGAAAGAGUGCGUAAUAGCUCACUGGUCGAGUGACUCUGCGCCGAAAAUGUAACGGGGCUAAACACACCACCGAAGCUAUGGCUAGAUACUUUGUAUCUGGGGUAGGGGAGCGUUGUAUGUAGGUUGAAGGUGUACCGUAAGGAGCGCUGGACAGCAUACAAGUGAGAAUGCCGGUAUGAGUAACGAAAAGAUCAGUGAGAAUCUGAUCCGCCGAAAGCCCAAGGUUUCCUGAGGAAGGCUCGUCCGCUCAGGGUAAGUCGGGACCUAAGGCGAGGCCGAAAGGCGUAGUCGAAGGACAACAGUUUGAAAUUACUGUACCACCGUAAUCCGCUAUGAGCGAUGGGGUGACGCAGGAGGGUAGUGACGCGGACUGAUGGAUAUGUCCGUCUAAGCAGUGAGGCUGAUGUGUAGGCAAAUCCGCACAUCAAUAAGGCUGGGCUGUGAUGGGGAGCGAAAAUUGUAGUAGCGAAGGUCAUGAUCUCACACUGCCAAGAAAAGCCUCUAGCCAGGAGAAGGUGCCCGUACCGCAAACCGACACAGGUAGGCGAGAAGAGAAUUCUAAGGCGCGCGGAAGAACUCUCGUUAAGGAACUCGGCAAAAUGACCUCGUAACUUCGGGAGAAGAGGUGCCUCGGUAGGGUGAAUAGCCCGAGGGGGCCGCAGUGAAAAGGCCCAAGCGACUGUUUAGCAAAAACACAGGUCUGUGCGAAGCCGCAAGGCGAAGUAUACGGGCUGACGCCUGCCCGGUGCUGGAAGGUUAAGGGGAGUGGUUAGGGGCAACCCGAAGCUGUGAACCGAAGCCCCAGUAAACGGCGGCCGUAACUAUAACGGUCCUAAGGUAGCGAAAUUCCUUGUCAGGUAAAUUCUGACCCGCACGAAUGGCGUAACGACUUGGGCGCUGUCUCAACGAGAGAUCCGGUGAAAUUUUAAUACCUGUGAAGAUGCAGGUUACCCGCGACAAGACGGAAAGACCCCAUGGAGCUUUACUGCAGCUUGAUAUUGAAUUUGGGUACGAUCUGUACAGGAUAGGUGGGAGCCGUAGAGGCAGGAGCGCAAGCUUCUGCGGAGGCGCCGUUGGGAUACCACCCUGAUCGUAUCUAGGUUCUAACCUAGUACCCUAAGCGGGUACGGGGACCGUGUCAGGCGGGCAGUUUGACUGGGGCGGUCGCCUCCUAAAGAGUAACGGAGGCGUUCAAAGGUUCCCUCAGAAUGGUUGGAAAUCAUUCGCAGAGUGCAAAGGCAUAAGGGAGCUUGACUGCGAGACCUACAAGUCGAGCAGGGACGAAAGUCGGACUUAGUGAUCCGGUGGUACCGCAUGGAAGGGCCAUCGCUCAACGGAUAAAAGCUACCCUGGGGAUAACAGGCUUAUCUCCCCCAAGAGUCCACAUCGACGGGGAGGUUUGGCACCUCGAUGUCGGCUCAUCGCAUCCUGGGGCUGAAGUAGGUCCCAAGGGUUGGGCUGUUCGCCCAUUAAAGCGGUACGCGAGCUGGGUUCAGAACGUCGUGAGACAGUUCGGUCCCUAUCUGUCGUGGGCGCAGGAAAUUUGAGAGGAGCUGUCCUUAGUACGAGAGGACCGGGAUGGACGUACCGCUGGUGCAUCAGUUGUUCCGCCAGGAGCAUGGCUGAGUAGCUACGUACGGACGGGAUAAGCGCUGAAAGCAUCUAAGCGUGAAGCCCCCCUCAAGAUGAGAUUUCCCAACUAGUAAGACCCCUUGAAGACGACGAGGUAGAUAGGUUGGAGGUGGAAGUGCAGCAAUGCAUGGAGCUGACCAAUACUAAUCGGUCGAGGGCUUAUCCAAAUU
RNAcentral lists this ribosomal RNA (2934 nucleotides) under Paenibacillus sp. FSL R5-0912. RNAcentral's name for it is "bacterial LSU rRNA". It matches the Rfam family "Bacterial large subunit ribosomal RNA". Lineage: Bacteria; Bacillati; Bacillota; Bacilli; Caryophanales; Paenibacillaceae. The record is from RNAcentral.